RNAcentral lists this ribosomal RNA (399 nucleotides) under Clostridioides difficile. RNAcentral describes it as "partial 23S ribosomal RNA". It matches the Rfam family "Bacterial large subunit ribosomal RNA", at positions 1772 to 2170 of the family's 2925-position model. Lineage: Bacteria; Bacillati; Bacillota; Clostridia; Peptostreptococcales; Peptostreptococcaceae. The record is from RNAcentral.
GGUGGCCGCAGAGAAUAGGCCCAAGCGACUGUUUACCAAAAACAUAGGUUUCUGCUAAGUCGCAAGACGAUGUAUAGGAGCUGACGCCUGCCCGGUGCUGGAAGGUUAAGGGGAUCUGUUAGAGCAAUCGAAGCAGUGAACUUAAGCCCCAGUAAACGGCGGCCGUAACUAUAACGGUCCUAAGGUAGCGAAAUUCCUUGUCGGGUAAGUUCCGACCCGCACGAAAGGCGUAACGAUUUGGGCACUGUCUCAACAACAGACUCGGUGAAAUUGUAAUUCCGGUGAAGAUGCCGGAUACCUGCGACAGGACGGAAAGACCCCAUGGAGCUUUACUGUAGCUUGACAUUGGGUCUUGGUACUACAUGUACAGGAUAGGUGGGAGGCUUUGAAACCAGGACG